This 460-nucleotide ribosomal RNA is filed under the name uncultured bacterium. Its description in RNAcentral is "partial 16S ribosomal RNA". It matches the Rfam family "Bacterial small subunit ribosomal RNA", at positions 338 to 795 of the family's 1533-position model. The record is from RNAcentral.
CCUACGGGUGGCUGCAGUGAGGAAUAUUGGUCAAUGGGCUUACGCCUGAACCAGCCAAGUCGCGUGAGGGAAGACUGCCCUAUGGGUUGUAAACCUCUUUAGGCGGGGAGCAAUGCCGGGCACGCGUGCCCGGAGUGAGAGUACCCGCAGAAUAAGCAUCGGCUAACUCCGUGCCAGCAGCCGCGGUAAUACGGAGGAUGCGAGCGGUAUACGGAUUUAUUGGGUUUAAAGGGUGCGUAGGCGGAUUUUUAAGUCAGCGGUAAAAUGUCCGGGCUCAAACCGGGCCGGCCGUUGAAACUGGGGAUCUUGAGUGGGCGAGAAGUAUGCGGAAUGCGUGGUGUAGCGGUGAAAUGCAUAGAUAUCACGCAGAACUCCGAUUGCGAAGGCAGCAUACCGGCGCCCGACUGACGCUGAGGCACGAAAGCGUGGGGAUCGAACAGGAUUAGAUACCCGGGUAGUC